AGUGGCCUCUGAUCCAGAGACACUAACCCAGCAACAGCCCUUGACUCCCUCCACCCUUGCUUCCCUCUCACCCAUCUCACCUCUAUCUGUUCAGUUGAGCCAGAGGUCCCACCUUCUUGGGAGAAAUUAAUUGAGGCACAUUUCCAGGCCAGAGGGGUGAGCUGGGUCUGAGGAGCCAAGCAGAAAGUCUUCUCAAAAUCACUAUGUGGGGAAGGAUCAGAGACUUGCUGCUGCCCUUGCUGUUCUGACUCUGCCCCAGCUUUUGGCCCCACCCCCUUAAAGAACCUUUAGAGGUUUCCAUGGUGACAGUAAACAAGCCUCCACUGCCUUGGCCAUCUCUGCUGUGUUUGCCCUACUCCUGAUCUUAAAGGUGUGCAGCUGUGAUGAGCAGGAGCAGGGAGGAGCUCCCAGGCAUCGUCAUCACUUCCCCGCACUGUCUAAAUCCUGCUCAGCAGUCUGUGAAACUGUGGUGCCGAAGACAUAUGUAAGGGUUCUAACUCCACUCAAGCAAUCUGCUCACCUCAAAAGGGAAAACAUUGGCUCGCUCCUGUUUUAACAGAUGACACAUAGGUCACAAUUCAAUCUGUGCUCUCCUUGGACUACUUCUUACAUGAACAUCAAACAUAUACCCAUUUCCCAAACACUAAUGUAGCUUGUAUAUUUGGAGUAAAAAUUAGAAAUAUACAUGCAGAGAUUUUAAAUAUACAACUUUUUUUAUUACCAUUUUCAGUCUCCCUACUUGUUGGUCUAUUCAGGGUAUUUAAUUCUUCCUCCUCUUCUUCUUGAGCUCCUCCCUGCUUCUACUCAUCACAGCUGCACACCUUUAAGAUCAGGAAUAGGGUAAACACAACAGAGAUGGCCAAGGCAGUGGACGCUUGUUUACUGUCACCAUGGAAACCUCUAAAGGUUCUUCUUAUAUCAUUCCAGGAAGUUAUCUACCUCCUCUAGGUUUUCCAGUUUAUGUGCAUAAAGGUGUUCAUUGUAGCCUUGAAUGACCUAUUGUAUUUCUGUGGUGUCAGUUGUAAUAUCUCCCAUUUCAUUUCUGAUUGAGUUUAUUUGAAUUUCCUCUCUUCUUUUCUUGGUUAAUUUCGUUAAUGUCUAUCAAUUUUAUUUAUUGUUUCAAGAACCAGCUUUUUGUUUUAUCUUUUGUAUUGUUUUUUGUUGUUGUUUCCAUUUCAUUUAGUUCUGCUCUCUUUUUUAUUUGCUUUCUCUUGCUGGGUUUGAGUUUGGUUUGUUCUUGUUUCUCCAGUUCUUUGAACUGUGAACUUUGUUUUUGCUCUUUCAGACUUCUUAAUAUAGGCAUUUAGAGCUCUGAACUUUUCUCCUAGCACUGCCUUUACUGUAUCCCAGAGGUUCUGAUAGGAUGUGUCACUACUUACAUUCAGUAUGAAAAAUAUUUUAAUUUCCAUCUUGAUUUCAUAGUUGACCAAUGAUCAUUUAGGAGCAGGUUAUUUAAUUUCCAUGUAUUUGAAGGUUCUUUAUGGACUGGAUUUCCAGUUUUAUUCCACUGUGGGCUGUAAGAAUGCUUGAUAUAAUUUCAAUUCUCUUAAAUUUACUGAGGCUCAUUUUGUGGCUUAUCAUAUGCUCUAUCUUGGAGAAAGUUCCAUACGCUGAUGAAUAGAAUAUAUAUUCUGCAGUUGCUGGAUAGAAUGUUCUGUAAAUAUCUGUUAAGUUAAUUUGUUCUAGGGUGUAAUUUAAAUCCAUUGUUUCUUUGUCAAAUUUCUGUCUUGAUGACCUGUCUGGUGCCGUCAGCGGAGUAUUGAAGUCCUCCACUAUUAUUGUGUCACUGUCUAUUUCAUUUCUUAGGUCUCGUAGUAGCUAUUUUAUUAAUUUAUUCACCAAUGUUAGGUGAAUAAAUAUUUAGAAUUGUGAUAUUUUCCUUUUGAACAAAGCCUGAUAUCAUUAUAUAAUGUCUCUCUUUGUCUUUCUUAACCUGCUGUUGCUUUAAAGUUUCCUUUGUCUGAUAUAAGAAUUGCUACUCCUGCUCACUCUUGGUCACCAUUUACAUGGAAUGUCUUUUUCCACCACUUUACCUUAAGGUCAGGUGAGUCUCUUGAAGGCAGCAGAUAGUUGGUGAUUUCUUAUCCAUUCUGUCAUUCUGUAUCUUUUAGGUGAAGCAUUUAGGCCAUCUACAUUAAAUAUUAGUAUUGAGAUGUGAGUUACUAUUCCAUUCAUAGUGCUGUUUCUUGUAUGUAUGUGUAAUUUCCAUCAAAAUACCAACAUCAUCCUUCACAGAACUAUAAAAUCAAUUCUACAAUUUAUAUGGAAUCAAAAAAGCCAAGGCAAGACUAACCAAAAAGAACAAAUCUGGAGGCAUCACAUUAACUGAUCUCAAACUAUACUAUAAAGCCAUAGUCACCAAAACUGCAUGGUACUGGUAUACAAGUAGACACAUAGAUCAAUGGAACAGAAUAGAAACCCCAGAAAUAAACCCAGUACUUACAGCCAACUAAUUGUUGACAAAGCAAAGACAUAAAGUGGGGAAAGGACACCCUAUUCAACAAGUGGUCCUUGAAUAAUUGACAAGUCACAUGUAGAAGAAUCAAACUAGAUCAUUGUCACUUACCUUAUACAAAAAUCGUCUCAAGAUGGAUCAAGGACUUAAAUUUAAAACCUGAAACUAUAAAAAUUCUAGCAGAUAACAUCAGAAAUACUCUUCUAGACAUUGGCUAGGCAAAGAUUUCAUGACCAUGAACCAAAAAGCAAAUGCAAUAAAAACAAAAAUAAGCAUCUGGGACUUUAUUAAACUAAAGGGCUUUUGUACAACAAAAGGUACAGUCAGCAGAGUAAACAGAAAACUGACAGAGUGGGAGAAAAUCUUCACAAUCAAUACAGCUGAUGAAAAACUAAUAUCCAGAAUCUGCAAUGAACUCAAACAAGUUAGCAAUAAACAAACAAUCCCAUCAAAAAGUGGGACAAGAACAUGAAUAGACAAUUAUCAAAAGAAGACAUACAAAUGACUAACAAACAUAUGAAAAAUGAUCAACAUCACUAAUGAUCAGGGAAAUGCAAAUCAAAACCACAAUGUGAUACCACUUCACUCCUGCAAGAAUGACCAUCAUGAAAAAAUAAAAAAAUAAUAGAUGUUGGCAUGGAUGCUAUGAAAAGGGAACACUUUUACACUGCUGGUGGGAAUGUAAACCAGUACAACCAUUAUGAAAAACAGGGUGGAGAUUUCGUAAGGAACUAAAAGUACAACUAUCAUUUGAUAUCCAGAAGAAAUGAAGUCAUUAUACAAAAAAGAUGCUUGAGCAUGUUUACAGCAGCACAAUUUGCAACUGUAAAAACGUGGAACCAACCAAAAUGUCCAUCAAUCAACGAGUGAAUAAACUGUGGUAUAUAUACACAUACAAUGGAAUACUACUCAGUCAUAAAAAGAAAGGAAUUAAUGGUAUUUGCAGCAACCUGGAAGAGAUUGGAGGCUAUCAUUCUCAGCAAAGUAACUCAGGAAUGGUAAACCAAGCAUUGCACGCUGUCACUCAUAAGUAACUGAGGAAUGGUAAACCAAGCAUUGCACGCUGUCACUCAUAAGUAACCCAGGAAUGGUAAACCAAGCAUUGCACGCUGUCACUCAUAAGUAACUGAGGAAUGGUAAACCAAGCAUUGCAUGCUGUCACUCAUAAGUAACUCAGGAAUGGUAAACCAAGCAUUGUACGCUGUCACUCAUAUAAGUAACUGAGGAAUGGUAAACCAAGCAUUGCACGCUGUCACUCAUAAGUAACUGAGGAAUGGUAAACCAAGUAUUGCACGCUGUCACUCAUAAGUAACUGAGGAAUGGUAAACCAAGCAUUGCACGCUGUCACUCAUAAGUAACUGAGGAAUGGUAAACCAAGCAUUGCACGCUGUCACUCAUAAGUGGGAGCUAAGCUAUGAGAAUACAAAUGCAUGAGAAUGACAUGAUGGACUUCAGGAAGUCAAGGGGAAAUGGUGGGAAGGGGUGCUAACUGCGUGCACUGUAUACGGCUCAUGUGAUAAGUGCCUCAAAAUCUCAGAAAUCACCAAUAAAAAAACUUACCCAUGCAACCAAAUAUUACCUGUUCCCCACCUACUUUAAAAUUUCUUUAAAUAAUAAAACUGUCUCCUCUUUAAUAACUCAUGUUUCCAUUAAAACAAUAUCUGGAAGCCACAUAAAGGAAGUAAGCAUAGGCCACUUGGAAGAAGUUCCAAAAGGGAGAGCUGACCCCAGCUUCGUACACUGGCAGCACAAGGAGCCCUCAAAGACUUCUGUGACCAAAUCUGUGCAGGUUUCUCUCCAUACCCCGAGCAAACCAUUGAUUCUGCAGUGAAAACCACCUGGGUGUUCUCCCAUUCAAUUUAGUUCUGACACUAUCUACCAGGAGAAAGCCUCAGAAACCACAGGUUGAGGGCUCAGUUUCACAAGAACACCCGCUUCUAACCAGCUGAAACUCCACACCUCCAGAGCUUCUGACUGACUGGCUUCAAGUUGUGAUUCUCACACAAACCUCUAUUUGAGUUUGACUAAUUUGUUAGAGCAGUUCACAGAACACAAGGAAACACUUAUCUUGAUCAAUUUAUAAUAAAGGAUGUUUUAAAAGAUAUGUUUUAUGAAACAUAUGAAAAGUCAGAUAAAAAAUUAUAUGUGUGUGUGUGUGUGUGUGUGUGUGUGUGUGUGUGUGUGUAUAGCGUGAAGCCUGGAAGAGCACAGGAGCUCCUAUCCACAUGGAUUUGGGGUGUGCCACCCUCCUGGCACAUGGACAAGUUUUCCUUCACCUUCCUGUCAGCCUCCACAUGUUCAGCUCUCCAGAAGUUCUACACACCCUGUCCUCUUAGGCAUUUUAUGAGAACUCCAUUGGAUAGGCAUGAAUGACAAAUGUAUAGAAAUGUGACAAAUGUAUAGAAAUCUCUAACAUCUACUGUAAUGCUGAUAGACCGAGUGGGGAAACCCAGCAAGGCUGGUCUAUUAAGAUUCUUUUUGGCAUCUCUGUGCAGCAUUCCUUCCUCCAGGGUAUGGCAGGACCCCUUCUGAAAGGAGGAUCUUAUGGCCCAUAAUCAGAGAGGUGGGAGAAGAUUAGAGAGGACAGAGGAAGGUCAGAAAGAGAGAAUAUAUCUUCUGAGGUCUGCUCCUGAAACUUAAAACAUUCCAACAUUACAACAGAAGACUAUGAAAGUUUUGAGCCAACAACUAUGAAUAAAAAAGUAUAUAUAUGUAUAUACAUAUAUACGUAUGUCUCACAAGCGAUUAAUAGAGAAAAUUGCUAUUGUGACUUUUUGUCCUUCAAUAACUAUAUUUAAAAUAAAAUUUUGACUGAAAUAGCAAUUUUCUGAACCAUUUAAGCAAGCUCAUGACAAUAAUUUUUUAGCCUUAAUCCAAAAUAAAACAGCAACGUUUUCAAAAUGUAUCUUCAAUCCUUCAGCAAUAAUCAGUUAUAUAAUUUUCCUGUACAACUAUAAUUAAAAUUAAAUGCAAUUAAAAAAAAUUUUGGUAAUACUAUACAUAUUUAUGGAACAAGUGUGAUAUUUUAUUACAUGCAUAGAAUAUGUGAUGGUCCAGUCAGGAUAUUUAGGGUAACUAUUACCUUGAGUAUUUGUGAUAUUCUGUGUUUAUCAUUUGAAAUCUUCUCUUCUAUUUUGAAAUACACGACACAUUGUUAACUAAAAUCUUUCUACUCUGCUACUGAACAUAGAACUUAUUCCUUUUAUCUAACUGUAUGUUUGUGUCCAUUAACUAUCCUCUGUUCAUCUCCCUGCACUGUUGCCACACACACUCUUCUCAGCCUCUGGUAUCAAUCAAUCCAUUCUCUACUUCCAUGAGAUUAAUGUUUUCAGCUUCCAUGUAAAUGUGAUGACAUGCAAUAUUUGUCUUUCUAUGCCUGGCUUAUUUCACUUAACAUAAUGACCUCCAGUUCCAUUCAUCCUGCUGCAAAUGACAUGAUUUAUGUUUUUAUGACUGAAUAAUAUCCCUUUUGUAUAGACACUACAUUUUCUUUAUCCAUUGGUUUAUUGAUGAACACUUAGGCUAUCUUUGCUAUUGUGAAUAGUGCUGCAAUAAACGUGAGGGUGCAGAUAUCUUAUUGAAAUAUUGAUUUUAUUUCCUUUAGAUAAGUACCCAGUAGUGCAAUUUCUGCAUAAUGUUGUAAUUCUUUUAGUUUUUACUAAUUUAUAUUCCCAACAAUAGUGUAUAAAAGUUCUCUUUUCUCUACAUCAUCAACAGCAUCUGAUAUUUUUUUGUCUUUUUAAUAAUAGUCAUUCUAACUGAGGUAAGAUUAUAUUUAAAUUGUGUUUUAGAGGCUGGGAGCGGUGGCUCAAGCCUGUAAUCCCAGCACUUUGGGAGGCCGAGGCGGGUGGAUCACGAGGUCAAGAGAUCGAGACCAUCCUGUUCAACAUGGUGAAACCCCGUCUCUACUAAAAAUACAAAAAAUUAGCUGGGCCUGGUGGCGCGUGCCUGUAAUCCCAGCUACUCAGGAGGCUGAGGCAGGAGAAUUGCUUGAACCCAGGAGGCAGAGGUUGCGGUGAGCCGAGAUCACGCCAUUGCACUCCAGCCUGGGUAACAAGAGCGAAACUCCAUCUCAAAAAAAAAAAAAAAUUAUAUUUUAAUGAAAGGAAUGAGAUCUGGAUACACGAAUAUUAGUCAUGGAGCUUCCUUUGACAGAAAAACAUCAAAAUGUUAUCUAAAUUUGUAAGGUUUUUUAUGAUAACUUUUGGCAGAUGUGCAAUUUUUGCACACCAACUACUUUAAUAAUUGUCGUCAAGUCAUGGAACUUUCUGCAGAAACAGUCUUCUUCCAAGCUUCUAACUUGAGAUUUUGCUUUUCAACCUUAUCAGCCACGGAAAAACAUGUUGGAUUUUUUCUUUGCAAAGCAAUAUUAAGAUAAUUUAAAUGACUAAAGUAUUAGACAAGUGAGAAAGACUGGUUGUCCUAUAUUCCAUAUUAGGUCAGUAUCAAAUUGGUUGCUUAACUUGGAAACACUGAGUUUAUUCCAUAGUUCAACUGUUCUCCACCAAACCUUUCCCCUCAAUGACAAUGCAUCUCCACAUACUUUAACGGUUGUUUUUAACCAGCUUUCACAUUAUUGCCUACAAAAAAAUGGAAUGAAAAUUACUACCUUUAUGAGAUGCAUGUUUUACUAUUUCUGUAAUCACAAUGUUUAGUUCAACUAGAAUUUUGCUUUUAUAUAAAUAACAAGAAUUUCUCAAUGAAGAAAACAUUACAUUGAUUUAUAACCUAUCAAAAGCUUCUAAAUCUGGGUACUUAUUCCAGAACAUGGCCCUACUGUGCUCAGCAAUUACAUAGCUCCUUCCAUUUGUAACUCACCACAUGAGUUUGACAUCUGUCCUGCUCUGUAUCCCAUUCAAUAAAGCAAGUCCAUUUGCUGUGGCACAGUCAAAUUGCACUAAAAGUUUUGAAACACUUGCUCUUAAUCGUUGUAUGAAUCCUAUCCCAGGCCAGUAGUCAAAUAUUCACCACAUAGCAGUGGUUCCCAGACCACAUCUUGAAUUUCAUGCAUGUGACUAUUGUUUUCUCCUCAUCAACAUAUGGGGAAUUCCUAGAAGUGAUAUUUAAUUUAUUUACAGUUUGUGAAAUCAUACUAUGGUACACUACACUGCAUUUAGAUUGCAUGCAACAAAUGUCUAUUAGAAUUAGAAAUAUUUAGUAGAAUUAAGUGAUGCAGCCAUGUCAUUAGUUACAUAUUAAGAAGUGAUCUUCCACACCCUAGAAGUCUUUUCACAUAGUCGUCUUUCUUUCUUUGGGUUCAAAUCAAGAUAAAAGUUUGUGUGUGUGUAUAUGUGUGUGUGUGUGUUAAAAUAUUAUUUUGAGCAUUUCUCUUUUGUGAAACUCAGCAGCAGAGGCCUGAGUUCAUUAAAGGUUCCAAUCAAAAAAAGAUAUACUCAUUGAUCCCUCAAAGUUUACUCCAUUGUGUUGUAUACUUUUUUCCAAUUUCUCACUCCCAAUUUUCUUGACAUCCCUGGAAGUCAUAUGUUGUGUGUCUUUUAUUUUCUAAGAGUUUUUACAUAUAUGAAGUAUUAUAAUGUGAGCUCAUGUUUUAAUUUUACUUAAUAUUACUGUGUUACAACUAAUUUUAUUUCUUGUUUUUUCAGUUUUACUGUUCCUCUAGAGUACUCCAAGAGCAUGGGCCUGGCUGGCAUACUACUAUUAUUCUUACAUUAAAAAAAUAGAUUUUAGUAGAUAAGUAUUCAGCAACUACUGCAGGCAGGCCAUAUCUGGCCCUGUACAUGUGUAUGAAAAUAAAGUACUGGAACACAGCUGUACCCACUCAUUUGUGUACUGUCGAUAAAUGCUUUCAUGCCACAACUGCCAAGUCUAGUAGUGGAUACAGAAACUAUGUGACUUACAGCACAAAAUAUACUUACUUUCUGAUCCUUUACAGAGCCAUGGAACUCCGAACUGGAUGAUCUAUUCCAACUCCCAUAUUCUAGUGUUUCAAAAUCCUUUUCUGCUUCCAUUUUCACUAAGGGGAAUUUGAACUGAUGGCAGGAAACAAGCAAGUGAAUGUUUACCAUGACUGCAGAGAGUUUCCUAAGGAAACUUUCCACUCCAGAAACCCCACUCGUGGUCAUGGGAUAUGGCUUUGCUCUGGUAGACCCCAGUCAUUUAAUAGAUACAACAUUGGUUUAUUCACGGUUUCCUUUAAUAAACACAUUACAGCAGAAGAACAUAACAAAAAAAAAAAAGGAAAAAAAGGAAAACUACAGGCUAAUAUCCCUGAUGAACAUAGAUGUAAAAAUCCUCAACAAAAUAUGAGUUAACCAAAUUCAACAACAUAGCAAAAAGAUAAUGUAUCAUGAUCAAGUAGGUUUCAUACCAGGGAUGCAGGGAUGGUUCAACAUACACAGGCCAAUAAAUGUGAUAAACCAUGUAAACAGAAUUAAAAACAAAAAUCGUGUGAUCAUCUCAUUAGCUGAAAGCAUCCUCCCUGAGAACUAGAGCAAGACAAGCAUGGCCACUCUUACCACUUCUCUUCAACAUAGUCCUGGACGUCCUAGCCAGAGCAAUCGGACAGGAGAAAGAAAUAAAGGGUAUCCAAAAAGAUACAGAAAGUCAAAUUGUCUCUGUUUGCUGAUUUUAUAAUCAUAUACCUAGAAAACCCUAAAGCCUCCCCCAAAAAGCUCCUAGAACUGAUUAAUGAAUUCAGCAAUGUUUUGGGAUACAAAAUUAAAGUACACAAAUUGGUAGCUCUGCUAUCCACCAACAGCAACCAAGCUGAGAAUCUAGUAAAGAACUCAACCUCUUUUACAAUAGCUGCAAAAAAUUAAAAUACUUAGGAAUAUGCCUAACUGAGGAUGUGAAUGACCUCUGCAAAGAAAACGACAGAACACUGCUAAAAGAUAUCACAGACCAUAAACAAACCGGAAACCCAUCCCAUACUCAUGAAUGGAGAGAAUUACAUUGAGAACAUGACCAUAUGACAAAUGCAAUCUAUAAAUUCAAUGCAAUUCCCAUCAAAAUACCACCAUCAUUCUACACAGAGCAGGAAGAGCAAUCCUAAAAUUCAUAUAGAACCAAAAAAAGCCUGCAUAGCCAAAGCAAGACUAAGCAAAAAGAACAAAUCUGGAGCCAUGACAUUAUUUUAAACUAUACUAUAAGGCCAUAGUCACUGAAUCAGCAUGCUACUGACAUAAAAACAGGCACACAGAAAAAUGGAACAGAACAGAGAACCCAAAAAUAAAUUCAAACACAGCCAACUGAUCUUGACAAAACAACAAAAACAUAAAGUGUAGAAAGAACAUCCUAGUCAACAAUUGGUGCUGGAAUAAUUUGCAAAGUACAUGCUGGACAAUGAAAUUGUAUUUUCAUCUCUCACCUCAUACAAAAAUCAACUCAAGAUGGAUCAAGAACUAAAUCUAAAACCUAAAACUAGAAAAACUAGAAAAUAACAUUGAAAAAUCCUUCUAGACUUUGGCUUAUGCAAAAAUUUCAUGACCAAAAACCCAAAAGCAGAAACAAUAAAACAAAGAUAAAUAGCUGGAACUUAAUUAAAUUAAAGAGCUUUUGCACAUUAAAAGAAACAGCAGAGUAAACAGACGACCCACAGAGUGGGAGAAAAUAUUUACAAUCUAUACAUCUGAAGAAGGACUAAUAUCCAGAAUCUAUAACAAAUUCAAACAAAUUAGCAAGAAACAAACAAUCCCUUCACAGAGUGGGCUAAGGACAUGAAGACAAUUCUCAAGAGAUGCAAAUGGCCAACAAACAGGAAAUAAUGCCCAACAUCACUACUGAUCAAAAAAAUGCAAAUCAAAACCACUACGUGAUACCACCUUACUCCUGCAACAGUGGCCAUAAUCAAAAAAUAAAAAUAAAAAUAGAUGUUGGCAUGGAUGAGAUAAAAAGGGAACACUUCUACACUGCUGGUUGGAAUGUUCACUAGUACAAUCACUACAGAAAACAACGUGGAGAUUCCUUAAAGAACUAAAAAUAGAACUACCAUUUGAUCCAGCAAUCCCACCACUGUGUAUCUAUCCAGAGGAAAAUAAGUCAUUAUACGAAAAAGAUAUUUGUUUAUAGCAGCACAAUUUGCAAUUUCAAAAAUGUGGAACCAACCUAAAUGCCCAUUAAUCAACAAGCACAUAUAUAUAUAUACAUACAUGUAUGUAUAUAUACACUUAUAUAUAUACAUACACACAUAUACAUACAUAUAUGUAUGUAUAUAUAUGCAUGUAUGUGUACAUAUGUAUGUAUAUAUAUAAAAUGGAAUAGAUACAUAAUGAAAUAUUGCAAAGCCAUAAGAAGUAAUGAAUUAAUGGCAUUCACAGCAAACUGUAUGAGAUUGGAAACUUAUUUUGAGUGAAAUAACUCAGGAACAGAAAAACAAACAUCAGUUGUUUUCACUCAUAAGCAGGAGCUAAGCUAUGAGGAUGCAAAGACAUAAGAAUGACACAUUGGACUUUGGGGACACGGGGGGAAAGGAUGGGAAGGGGGUGAGUGAUAGAAGACUACAAAUUGGAAGAUGCAUGCACCAAAAUCUCACAAAUCACCACUAAAUAACUUACCUGUGUAACCAAAUAUCUAUCACCUCUUCCCCCAAAAUUUGUAGAAAAAAUUUUAAAAAGACAUACAUUAUUGUCAUUUCAUCCAACUGAAUA
Molecule: non-coding RNA, 11061 nt
Organism: Callithrix jacchus (white-tufted-ear marmoset)
Lineage: Eukaryota; Metazoa; Chordata; Mammalia; Primates; Cebidae
Source: RefSeq, a predicted model, not a curated record